Molecule: long non-coding RNA, 1128 nt
Filed under: Bos indicus x Bos taurus (hybrid cattle)
Lineage: Eukaryota; Metazoa; Chordata; Mammalia; Artiodactyla; Bovidae
Description: lncRNA (ENSBIXG00000023157.1)
Source: RNAcentral
CUGAAUUCAUUUUUAGUUUUUCUCUUGCUAACAUAGGCCUGUUUAGGUCCAGGUGUUUACUCUUUUCUGCCUAACCAUGUUCUAAUCAGGUGAAUCUGUCCUGAGUUCAAAGAUGCAUCCUGAUUGAGCUAAGCUAAAACACAACAAUUCCAGUCCCUCUUCCUAUGACUUCUUAAGGCACAGAAAUGUGUUGCAAUUUUGAUCAAUGAGACGUGAAGAAAAGCCACUGAGAACUUCUGUAAAAGGUUCCUUAAAUCUUAAAAAAAAAAAAAGAAAAAGAAAGAAAGAAAGAAAGAAAAGAAAACAUAGUUCCUCUUCUUUUAGAUGUUCUCAAGUCUGAGAAAAUGAUCCCUGGGGAUGAAAUCUGGAGAAGAAUGGAAAGAUGCUGGCCCUUGACUGUAUUAUUCAGCCUCUGACUUGAAAAACCCUAUGCUAGUCACUCUUCCUCCAAACAUGUCUCCUGGUAGAAUGGAAGACUUUACUGAAAUUAAAUUUUUGGACACUGGACCCAUCUAUUUUUUUGAUCAGAUAAAACCAAAAAGGAAAAUAUGGGAAAAGAGAAAAUGUGAAGACCACUUCCCCCUUUUGGAGUGCACUGAAGGAGCUAACUAUAAUCCUACAAGGAGUAUAUUUAAAGAACUAGAGAAAGCAAAACUUUCUACAGUAGCUGAAUCCGGGGAGAAAGAUGAGUUCAUCUCAUUUGGUGUCUCACAAACAUCUAGUGUUUCUAUGUUAUCUACUAAUUUAAAAUUUUCCAAACUACAACUGCAAAAGUCUCUGUUUGAAGAAUACAAACUCACUGCUGCUGAAAUACUGUAUGAACUUGAGGAGGUAUUACAGAAAUAUGCUGUGUAUAACAUUACUUUCCCUGUGGGAAUUGUAAAUCUUGUGGAUUACAGUUGGCACGAUCUUACUUCAGAUGCUUAUAAGUAUGCAACCAAAAAUCCUAUGUUGAAGAAAUGUAGUGCCUUAAAAGAUGAUACCAGUAUCAUGACUAUGAUCGACUUAAAGGGAUACAAAAUCAACAGCUGCUCAAGAGAAGAAUGUCAUAAGAGGAACUGCCUGGUGAAAGUAAAAGAAGACCAUCACGAUGCAGCAAGUAAACCUGUGGUAAAAACAUGUAAGUAG